Molecule: transfer RNA, 72 nt
Filed under: Camelus bactrianus (Bactrian camel)
Lineage: Eukaryota; Metazoa; Chordata; Mammalia; Artiodactyla; Camelidae
Also listed under: 2 other names
Rfam family: tRNA
About the family: Transfer RNA (tRNA) molecules are approximately 80 nucleotides in length.
Source: Rfam by way of RNAcentral
GAGUGUAUAGCUCAGGGGCAGAGUGCAUGCUUAGCAUGCAUGAAGUCCUGGGUUCAAUCCUCAGUACCUCCA